AUACGGAGGGUGCAAGCGUUAUUCGGAAUCACUGGGCGUAAAGGACGCGUAGGCGGGUUGGCAAGUCAGAUGUGAAAUCCUACAGCUUAACUGUAGAACUGCAUUUGAAACUGCUAACCUAGAGUAUGGGAGGGGGAGAUGGAAUUAGUGGUGUAGGGGUAAAAUCCGUAGAUAUCACUAGGAAUACCGAAAGCGAAGGCGAUCUCCUGGAACAUAACUGACGCUAAGGCGUGAAAGCGUGGGGAGCAAACAGGAUUAGAAACCCUAGUAGUCG
RNAcentral lists this ribosomal RNA (274 nucleotides) under uncultured bacterium. RNAcentral's name for it is "partial 16S ribosomal RNA". It matches the Rfam family "Bacterial small subunit ribosomal RNA", at positions 523 to 796 of the family's 1533-position model. The record is from RNAcentral.